AGAGUUUGAUCCUGGCUCAGAUUGAACGCUGGCGGCAUGCUUUACACAUGCAAGUCGAACGGCAGCACGGGGGCAACCCUGGUGGCGAGUGGCGAACGGGUGAGUAAUAUAUCGGAACAUAUCCGGAAGUGGGGGAUAACGUAGCGAAAGUUACGCUAAUACCGCAUAUGCCCCGAGGGGGAAAGGGGGGGAUCCGCAGGACCUCUCGCUUUCGGAGUGGCCGAUAUCAGAUUAGCUAGUAGGUGAGGUAAAGGCUCACCUAGGCGACGAUCUGUAGCUGGUCUGAGAGGACGACCCGCCACACUGGAACUGAGACACGGUCCAGACUCCUACGGGAGGCAGCAGUGGGGAAUUUUGGACAAUGGGCGAAAGCCUGAUCCAGCCAUACCGCGUGAGUGAAGAAGGCCUUCGGGUUGUAAAGCUCUUUCAGCCGGAAAGGAAUCGUAUCUAUUAAUACUAGAUGCGGAUGACGGUACCGGAAGAAGAAGCACCGGCUAACUACGUGCCAGCAGCCGCGGUAAA
This 522-nucleotide ribosomal RNA is filed under the name uncultured Ferribacterium sp. RNAcentral describes it as "bacterial SSU rRNA". It matches the Rfam family "Bacterial small subunit ribosomal RNA", at positions 8 to 524 of the family's 1533-position model. Lineage: Bacteria; Pseudomonadati; Pseudomonadota; Betaproteobacteria; Rhodocyclales; Azonexaceae. The record is from RNAcentral.